Molecule: ribosomal RNA, 940 nt
Filed under: Arthrobacter agilis
Lineage: Bacteria; Bacillati; Actinomycetota; Actinomycetes; Micrococcales; Micrococcaceae
Description: bacterial SSU rRNA
Rfam family: Bacterial small subunit ribosomal RNA
Source: RNAcentral
GUGACGGUACUGCAGAAGAAGCGCCGGGCUAACUACGUGCCAGCAGCCGCGGUAAUACGUAGGGCGCAAGCGUUAUCCGGAAUUAUUGGGCGUAAAGAGCUCGUAGGCGGUUUGUCGCGUCUGCCGUGAAAGUCCGGGGCUUAACCCCGGAUCUGCGGUGGGUACGGGCAGACUAGAGUGCAGUAGGGGAGACUGGAAUUCCUGGUGUAGCGGUGAAAUGCGCAGAUAUCAGGAGGAACACCGAUGGCGAAGGCAGGUCUCUGGGCUGUAACUGACGCUGAGGAGCGAAAGCAUGGGGAGCGAACAGGAUUAGAUACCCUGGUAGUCCAUGCCGUAAACGUUGGGCACUAGGUGUGGGGGACAUUCCACGUUUUCCGCGCCGUAGCUAACGCAUUAAGUGCCCCGCCUGGGGAGUACGGCCGCAAGGCUAAAACUCAAAGGAAUUGACGGGGGCCCGCACAAGCGGCGGAGCAUGCGGAUUAAUUCGAUGCAACGCGAAGAACCUUACCAAGGCUUGACAUGAACCGGAAUGAUGCAGAGAUGUGUCAGCCACUUGUGGCCGGUUUACAGGUGGUGCAUGGUUGUCGUCAGCUCGUGUCGUGAGAUGUUGGGUUAAGUCCCGCAACGAGCGCAACCCUCGUUCCAUGUUGCCAGCGGGUUAUGCCGGGGACUCAUGGGAGACUGCCGGGGUCAACUCGGAGGAAGGUGGGGACGACGUCAAAUCAUCAUGCCCCUUAUGUCUUGGGCUUCACGCAUGCUACAAUGGCCGGUACAAAGGGUUGCGAUACUGUGAGGUGGAGCUAAUCCCAAAAAGCCGGUCUCAGUUCGGAUUGAGGUCUGCAACUCGACCUCAUGAAGUUGGAGUCGCUAGUAAUCGCAGAUCAGCAACGCUGCGGUGAAUACGUUCCCGGGCCUUGUACACACUACCCGUCAAGUCACG